UACGGAGGAGUCCGAGCGUUAUCCAGAUUUAUUGGGUUUAAAAGGGUGCGCAGGCGGGAGAUUAAGUCGGCGGUGAAAUUUUGCAGCUCAACUGUAAAAGUGCCUUCGAAACUGGUUUCCUUGAAUGUGGUAGAGGUAGGCGGAAUGUGUUGUGUAGCGGUGAAAUGCUUAGAUAUAACACAGAACACCGAUUGCGAAGGCAGCUUACUAUUCCAUUAUUGACGCUGAUGCACGAAAGCGUGGGGAGCAAACAGGGAUUAGAUACCCUGGUA
RNAcentral lists this ribosomal RNA (272 nucleotides) under uncultured prokaryote. Its description in RNAcentral is "partial 16S ribosomal RNA". It matches the Rfam family "Bacterial small subunit ribosomal RNA", at positions 524 to 792 of the family's 1533-position model. The record is from RNAcentral.